RNAcentral lists this small nucleolar RNA (145 nucleotides) under Leersia perrieri. RNAcentral describes it as "Small nucleolar RNA Z247". It matches the Rfam family "Small nucleolar RNA Z247". Rfam says of the family: Z247 is a member of the C/D class of snoRNA which contain the C (UGAUGA) and D (CUGA) box motifs. The record is from Rfam by way of RNAcentral. Lineage: Eukaryota; Viridiplantae; Streptophyta; Magnoliopsida; Poales; Poaceae.
CCGCUGGAUGAUGAAGAUCUGGUGGCAUACAUCAUCAAUGGGCUCGACUCCGACUACAAUCCUGUAGUUGAGGGUUUGAUGGCCACAUCCCGAAUUGCUCCGGUAUCUGUUUCCCAAGCCUACUCAUAGCUUUUAAGUUUUGAGA